RNAcentral lists this transfer RNA (90 nucleotides) under Pedosphaera sp. Its description in RNAcentral is "tRNA-Ser". It matches the Rfam family "tRNA". Rfam says of the family: Transfer RNA (tRNA) molecules are approximately 80 nucleotides in length. Their secondary structure includes four short double-helical elements and three loops (D, anti-codon, and T loops). The record is from RNAcentral. Lineage: Bacteria; Pseudomonadati; Verrucomicrobiota; Pedosphaerae; Pedosphaerales; Pedosphaeraceae.
GGAGGGGUGGCUGAGCGGUUGAAGGCACCUGACUCGAAAUCAGGCGUACUCGCAAGGGUACCGGGGGUUCAAAUCCCUCCCCCUCCGCCA